UACAGAGGCCUCAAGCGUUGUUCGGAUUUAUUGGGCGUAAAGGGUGCGUAGGCGGCGCGGUAAGUCGGGUGUGAAAUCUCGGAGCUUAACUCCGAAACUGCAUUCGAUACUGCCGUGCUUGAGGACUGGAGAGGAGACUGGAAUUUACGGUGUAGCGGUGAAAUGCGUAGAUAUCGUAGGGAAGACCAGUGGCGAAGGCGGGUCUCUGGACAGUUCCUGACGCUGAGGCACGAAGGUCAGGGGAGCAAACGGG
This 253-nucleotide ribosomal RNA is filed under the name uncultured bacterium. RNAcentral describes it as "partial 16S ribosomal RNA". It matches the Rfam family "Bacterial small subunit ribosomal RNA", at positions 524 to 776 of the family's 1533-position model. The record is from RNAcentral.